This is a long non-coding RNA of Daphnia magna, 2916 nucleotides long. RefSeq lists it as uncharacterized. The record is from RefSeq and is a predicted model, not a curated record. The transcript is spliced from 4 exons. NCBI's taxonomy places the organism in Eukaryota, Metazoa, Arthropoda, Branchiopoda, Diplostraca, Daphniidae.
UUGCCAUACUUCCAGCAACGAAUGCACGAAAAGCCACUUUGGCAAAAUCCGACUGUCGUCCGGGAGCCAUGGCGGAUAAAGUGCCAAUUUGAGCUCCAAUCGAGCCGGGAUUUGCAUAGCCACACAAAGCAAAGUACGAGUGAUUUUUACCGAGAUGGCGCCCUGUGCAAUAUAUUCAGACAGUUUGCCAUAAGCAGCGAAUUCAUUGACGACCGUUUUAAUUGCCACCAAAUUGGCAACGAGAUCACAUUCAGAUGAUGGAAACACCCAUCAACCAAGCUAUUGGAAUGAAGAGUUUACUCAAAAUCCACUGCACAUAAUCCAAUCAUUAAUGCUUAUCAAAUUCCAUUAGUAAAUCAACCGUACUCUUAUACUUCAAAUGUUAUGUAGGGCACUCCAAGGAGGUUACCGAACCAAGAGAUGACUCCAUUAAGGAAAGCAAUAAACGCUAAAAAGGCAAUUAAAUUCGCGAUCACGUGAGCUACCAUUAACACUGCCAUUGCUGCUCCUUGUGCUGCUGCGUCCAGGGCAUUAACUUCGGAUCUACAUUUUCCCCAACAAAAAAUUUUAUAAAUUUGCUUUGAAAAAAAAAAAAUAAAUUAAACUAACCCUUUUGGCACUUUAAUGUCACGAGCUUUUGUUUGAGAUUUUUCCGUUUCCGGAUAGAGCAAUUUGGAUACAGCGAGAGCUACCGGAGCAGCCAUAACGGAUGCGCUGAGCAACUGCGAAGCACUAAUUCCAAAAGCAGUGUACGCCGCCAAAUCAGAUCCUAGUAUAGGUUUCAGCUGACUUGUUAAGACUAUUCAGGUUUAAUCAAAAGUGGAGCUUCCGUCUGUCAUUUGGAGGAAACAAAAGCAACAAGUUUAGAAAGCAGAAUGAACAUUUUUUGUGUUUGAUAAAAGACCUGGCCUAAAAAGAUGUUGGCGGCGGCGUUCAUCGACUCAGCGGCUGUUGUGCCAACUGAAAUUUGUAAAAGCCAUCCAAGUUUUUCGACUGUCCAUUGCAUCGCACCGUAAUAAUAGAGGAGGUUGAUCAAGAAACUGAAAAAGUAGAUAACCGACAAGAUCUGCCAAAAAUAGAAAGUGGGAAUUGUUCGGAAUGGAAUGAUGAUAAACGUAUAACAGCGGAACUUACUCUGAAAGCAAAUAUGGUUCCCAACGCUAUUCCAGAAGCGUUUUGAUCGCUGGCCAGAUAGCCAUAGACGAACUCUGAUCCAGCAACUGAGUAAUCCAAGAAGAAGAGAAAAUUUGCUUCCUAAACAUUCGAAUGUUCUUCGGCCAAAGUCCCAUCAUCACCUGUGCAAAAAAAGGUAGCAUAUCGAACAAGCUGAUGGAAGUAAGUCACGGAAAAUUGGGAAACCAAAGUAUUUCUUACUCUGGAUGGAUAUUUGGAGAAGAUCCAUCCGAGAAGCAAGAAGAUAAGCAGCCCACCAAAGGAUUGCAAUCGGACUCGUUCAUCCGCCGUGUCGAUGAUUAAGAAGGUUAACAAACCAGCCGAUAGGACGAGGUAAAAACCGUAUCGAACCCAACUGGGUUGUAAUCAAUUCAGCUUCAGUUUGUUUGCCAAUUGUAAUAAGAUUUUAAUUAUACGAUAACUCACCUGUAUUUCCAUGCUCGGUCGAAGGCCUUUACGGCCGGCUUCAUAACUGCUCGAUUAAGUGAUUUGCCCCAAUAUUUUCUAACAAUUUGGAAGUAAAACAGGCCCAAAUAAGUGAUGCCCGUCAGGACGAUCAGGAAACCGACUCCAUCGCACCAAUCCAUUGGAAUGCCAUUGCGGAUGGAAUAAUGGAACACUGGCUACGAAGUAAACAUUGUAAAGAAUAGCGAAGAUGAUGUAGAAGAUACUACGAGCAACAGCUGAUCUUUCCGAAAAGAAAUCGCCUAAUGAAGCCCAUAAUUUCUCCAAAGCAUUUCCGAUAAAUUCACACGAUCGGUCAGGUGGCUCGUCGUCACUGUCACGUUCAUUCGACUGCGUCUCACUUUUGGAUGAUAAUUCAAAGUUCUUGACGGCUAGCGUUGACACAUCUUCCAUGCAAAUCGGCCUCUCCUUAUCCGGAUCACCUUCCAUUUGGACGUCCGCGCCAAUAACUUCAGUUACCAUCUCCAUCUUUUUUUUUUUAAUUUUCAAUUCUUACAGAUAGAAAUGUCUACUACUUAUAACGUCGCCAUUCCGACUUGUAUAUAGACACACUAAUUUAUUAAUCUGUGGUAUCUUCUAACUAAACUUAGAUUGUGGAAACUCGACAGGCAGGUACAAAAGUCAUUUAAGAGGCAUUAAUGAGACCAAGAUAAAUAAGUGAGCUGAUACAGUUGUGACUUACUUUGCACAAUCAGUUUUGAACAAUGCUGAGCUAUGUUAAGAAAACAAAUAUCGUCGGUAUAGUGAACUUGGGUAAAAGAUCAAAAGUUUGAUUAAGGGAAUUGAACCGCUCAUUAAACUCCCAGUUCUAAUGAUCUAAUGGUAAUCGAUUAUUAACUCAAAAUAUGUUACCCUCUUUUCCCUAUAGCAAUUUCUAAUGGGAAUGGUGCGCUAAAAGCUCAAAUUUUCGUACCAAGCCUUCAACUACAUCGUUUUCAACCUAUUAGCCUUGAAGCAAAACGAAGUCGUCAAAAUCAUGCUAAUGCUUCAUUGUAUUUCCAGAAGUGUUUUGAAACUGGUGACGAACAGAAAGGAAUGCAAACUGCAUUGUAACUGAUCCCCAAGUGUGUGAAACACGUUAGGAAAUGUAAAAACUCAAGUGAAUAAAAUAGAAUAAAUGUUUAAAGUGUUAACCAAAGGGGUCGUCUAGAUGCCGGGAACGGAAAUAGCUGGAAAAGCCAAGUGUUUACAGGCAGCACUGUUUGUUGCCGAACAAGUUGUUGCGGCAUCUCUUGUAAAUCAGGUUGCUGGCACAGUCCGUGUUAUUGAAGCAGGAAG